This 271-nucleotide long non-coding RNA is filed under the name Corvus moneduloides (New Caledonian crow). Its description in RNAcentral is "lncRNA (ENSCMUG00000012089.2)". Lineage: Eukaryota; Metazoa; Chordata; Aves; Passeriformes; Corvidae. The record is from RNAcentral.
GAGAGACUACUGAUCGCUCUUCGUGCUGCUCCUAAAAUCAGCUCUAUUAGGAGUUAGAAAUACCAGCAUUCUUCCAAAGAAGCUUAUUUUUAUUAUAUUCCCAGCCUAAUACUGGAAACCAAAGAGCUUUAGAAUAGAACUGGCUGCAACUCUAGCAUUUCCCUUGAAAGAAAGCAGUGUCAGAGCAUCAAGAGAGAGAAGCUCCCGCUGGGAAGAUGUUGCCGAUCCUGCAGUCAUCCUGCUCUGCAGCCUCUCUUGUUUGGGCUCAUUA